Molecule: ribosomal RNA, 571 nt
Filed under: Rhodotorula taiwanensis
Lineage: Eukaryota; Fungi; Basidiomycota; Microbotryomycetes; Sporidiobolales; Sporidiobolaceae
Description: LSU rRNA
Rfam family: Eukaryotic large subunit ribosomal RNA
Source: RNAcentral
UGCAUAUCAAUAAGCGGAGGAAAAGAAACUAACAAGGAUUCCCCUAGUAGCGGCGAGCGAAGCGGGAAGAGCUCAAAUUUAUAAUCUGGCACCUUCGGUGUCCGAGUUGUAAUCUCUAGAAGUGUUUUCCGCGUUGGACCGCACACAAGUCUGUUGGAAUACAGCGGCAUAGUGGUGAGACCCCCGUAUAUGGUGCGGACGCCCAACGCUUUGUGAUACACUUUCGAAGAGUCGAGUUGUUUGGGAAUGCAGCUCAAAUUGGGUGGUAAAUUCCAUCUAAAGCUAAAUAUUGGCGAGAGACCGAUAGCGAACAAGUACCGUGAGGGAAAGAUGAAAAGCACUUUGGAAAGAGAGUUAACAGUACGUGAAAUUGUUGGAAGGGAAACGCUUGAAGUCAGACUUGCUUGCCGAGCAAUCGGUUUGCAGGCCAGCAUCAGUUUUCCGGGGUGGAUAAUGGUAGAGAGAAGGUAGCAGUUUCGGCUGUGUUAUAGCUCUUUGCUGGAUACACCUUGGGGGACUGAGGAACGCAGUGUGCCUUACGGCGGAUUUCUCGAGAUCUUCACACUUAGGA